GAUGAACGCUAGCGGAGGCUUAACACAUGCAAGUCAGGGGCAGCAUAGGGUAGCAAUACUCUGAUGGCGACCGGCAAACGGGUGAGUAACGCGUAUGCAACCUACCCUGUACAGGGGGAUAACCCGGAGAAAUUCGGACUAAUAUCCCGUAAUAAUAUCCGGAGGCAUCUUUGGAUAUUUAAAGUUCCGACGGUACGGGAUGGGCAUGCGUAACAUUAGCUGGUUGGUAAGGUAACGGCUUACCAAGGCUAUGAUGUUUAGGGGUCCUGAGAGGGUGGUCCCCCACACUGGUACUGAGACACGGACCAGACUCCUACGGGAGGCAGCAGUGAGGAAUAUUGGUCAAUGGGCGCAAGCCUGAACCAGCCAUCCCGCGUGCAGGAAGACGGCCCUAUGGGUUGUAAACUGCUUUUCCAGGGAGAGAAACUUACGCACGUGUUGCGUGACUGACGGUACCCUGGGAAUAAGCAUCGGCUAACUCCGUG
This 485-nucleotide ribosomal RNA is filed under the name uncultured bacterium. Its description in RNAcentral is "bacterial SSU rRNA". It matches the Rfam family "Bacterial small subunit ribosomal RNA", at positions 28 to 507 of the family's 1533-position model. The record is from RNAcentral.